This 253-nucleotide ribosomal RNA is filed under the name uncultured bacterium. RNAcentral's name for it is "partial 16S ribosomal RNA". It matches the Rfam family "Bacterial small subunit ribosomal RNA", at positions 524 to 776 of the family's 1533-position model. The record is from RNAcentral.
UACGUAGGGUGCAAGCGUUAAUCGGAAUUACUGGGCGUAAAGCGCGCGUAGGUGGUUCGUUAAGUUGGAUGUGAAAGUCCAGGGCUCAACCCUGGAAUGCCAGUGGAAACUGUCGAGCUAGAGUCCGGAAGAGGCGAGUGGAAUUCCUGGUGUAGCGGUGAAAUGCGCAGAUAUCAGGAAGAACACCCGUGGCGAAGGCGGCUCUCUGGGACGGUACUGACGCUGAGACGCGAAAGCGUGGGGAGCGAACAGG